Molecule: long non-coding RNA, 693 nt
Organism: Fopius arisanus
Lineage: Eukaryota; Metazoa; Arthropoda; Insecta; Hymenoptera; Braconidae
Exons: 2
Source: RefSeq, a predicted model, not a curated record
CAAUUUAGGAGUCAUUAGUUUCAAUUAAAUAAUUAAUUCAGUGAAGUAUGGAAAUUCAAAAAAAAAUCAUACCUUUCUUUUAUUAAAUACGGGUUUGUUGAGGAAUCAUUUGGUGGUCAUGAUGAUUCAGGUUUCAGAAUUUAGGAGUUGAUGAUUUUUCAUUAAAAAAAAACAGUAAUUUCCUGGCGUCCCACAUACUGGUUGCGUGCGCAUGCGUGGCAUAUGUCAUAAUUGUCAACUUGAGUGGCUAAUGUGAUCUAUAUCAACUAGCAACUCUUGAUUCUACGCAUGUUCAACUUUUCGAAUGUACAGAGGAAAAAGGUCACAGUGUGUAAUUGAGUCUUGCAGCAUGUCCACAUCUAAGAAACUCUUCUAUAGAAUGAGCAUACUUCUUCAACCGUGUCUCAACGAUGAUUCUUCGUGGUGUAUGAUAUCCAGAAUUAUAGCAAUGUCAGGAAGUUAGAUAGCAGAAGUUCAGAACUAUUCGAAUGCAGAACAUCAUUAUGAAAAAACCUCUAUCAACGAAGUUUGAUGUCUUCGAAGAGAAUACAUACCACGAGAUCCAAUCAGCAUUUCUAACAAUUCAAAUGAUUCCAUUAUUGAUAUUGAAUUCAAUUCAUGGCAGAUCUGUUUUACUUCUGUACAAGGGCGUCCAUGAGUAAUUUGUUAUUAUAAAAACAUAAUUUCUGUAAA